AGCAGUAGCCGCGGGAAUACGGAGGGUGCAAGCGUUAUCCGGAUUCACUGGGUUUAAAGGGUGCGUAGGCGGGCAGGUAAGUCAGUGGUGAAAUCUUCGAGCUUAACUCGGAAACUGCCGUUGAUACUAUCUGUCUUGAAUAACGUUGAGGUGAGCGGAAUAUGUCAUGUAGCGGUGAAAUGCUUAGAUAUGACAUAGAACACCGAUUGCGAAGGCAGCUCACUAAACGCUCAUUGACGCUGAGGCACGAAAGCGUGGGGAUCAAACAGGAUUAGAUACCCCUGUAGUCCCUGUCUCUUAUAC
This 303-nucleotide ribosomal RNA is filed under the name uncultured bacterium. RNAcentral describes it as "partial 16S ribosomal RNA". It matches the Rfam family "Bacterial small subunit ribosomal RNA", at positions 507 to 807 of the family's 1533-position model. The record is from RNAcentral.